UAUUCACAUUUACCUCCCUCUUUUUGUUUCAUCAUGGAGCUUCAUCACAUUUUGCUUUCCACACAGGGUUAAUAAAGUUGUGUGUUGUAACGGCUGAUCUCUCUUUUCUUUCACAGGCAGGAUGAAACCCCCUCUAAAUGUAAAUUUAAAAGCAACAGAGUAAUCACAUCAGAUGACUCUUCAAAUUCAGAUGACAUCCCACCCUGUUCAGAAACAUUUGCACCGUUAGAGAUGGAUAUAGAAGAAAGUGCAAGCUUUGUCCAGGAGCCUCAGCUGAACAGGAAAGACCUCGAGAGACCCUCUCAAACAGUCCUCACUUUCGGUUCUCAGACCUGCACCAGCGUGACUGAAGUCCACAAGAUCGGUUGAUUGGACAUGAUUUGAAAGGGUAAACACCUGUAUGAAAGGUCUCCCUGCUGAUGAUGCAUAUCAGAGCAAAAAUCCUCGUGUGGAUGGAUGUACCUGAUAGGAACAAAAAAAACACCCUUCAAGGUAAACUAUGCAGGAAUUGUUGGUUCCAGUUUGUUUUCAGUGUAUAGCCAACAAACGUGAGGUUCAACCUGAGAUUCAGUCUUGUUUUGAAAUAAGCCUCUCUGUUUGGAGAUUCACCUGGCUCCAUUUUUAUUUUUUGCUGGGCUGUUUCUACAGUUUUGUUCAUAGCUUUCGUAUUAUAAACAUGCUGCUUAACAGUCUGAAUGUGCUGCUACAGUUUUUUGUUUUUAAAGUCUCAGCCUCACCUCUGAGCUGUAGCCAGGAACAUCCUGAACACUGCAAAAUAAAAGAUGAAAAUACAGGCAGAGGGCAGAGUCUCUGCAGGUAAAUACACUGCCACACACUUCUAUGGGAUCAUAAGUAAUUAUUGAGAGGGAUUAUAUCUGUAUUAGUCUAUACAUGUAUUUAAGGAAAGUCCUGCUUAAUAUACCUUUAAAGUGCAAUGCCUUCCACACCAAGACUUAUUCCAGCUUGCUGUC
Plectropomus leopardus (leopard coralgrouper) is the source of this 971-nucleotide non-coding RNA. Lineage: Eukaryota; Metazoa; Chordata; Actinopteri; Perciformes; Serranidae. The record is from RefSeq and is a predicted model, not a curated record.